This 334-nucleotide ribosomal RNA is filed under the name uncultured bacterium. RNAcentral describes it as "bacterial SSU rRNA". It matches the Rfam family "Bacterial small subunit ribosomal RNA", at positions 18 to 344 of the family's 1533-position model. The record is from RNAcentral.
CCUGGCUCAGGAUGAACGCUGGCGGCGUGCCUAAUACAUGCAAGUAGAACGCUGAAGGAGGAGCUUGCUCUUCUGGAUGAGUUGCGAACGGGUGAGUAACGCGUAGGUAACCUGCCUGGUAGCGGGGGAUAACUAUUGGAAACGAUAGCUAAUACCGCAUAACAGUAGAUGUUGCAUGAUAUCUGCUUGAAAGGGGCAAUUGCUCCACUACCAGAUGGACCUGCGUUGUAUUAGCUAGUUGGUGAGGUAACGGCUCACCAAGGCGACGAUACAUAGCCGACCUGAGAGGGUGAUCGGCCACACUGGGACUGAGACACGGCCCAGACUCCUACGG